AGAGUUUGAUCAUGGCUCAGAACGAACGCUGGCGGCGUGCCUAACACAUGCAAGUCGAACGUGAUCCAGAGCUUGCUCUGGUGAAAGUGGCGCACGGGUGAGUAACGCGUGGAUAAUCUGCCCGAUGAUCUGGGAUAACAUUUCGAAAGGGGUGCUAAUACCGGAUAAGCUCACGGGGUCUUCGGACCCUGCGGGAAAAGGGGGGGACCUUAUGGCCUUCUGUCAUCGGAUGAGUCCGCGUACCAUUAGCUAGUUGGUAGGGUAAUGGCCUACCAAGGCGACGAUGGUUAGCUGGUCUGAGAGGAUGAUCAGCCACACUGGAACUGAGACACGGUCCAGACUCCUACGGGAGGCAGCAGUGGGGAAUUUUGCGCAAUGGGCGAAAGCCUGACGCAGCAACGCCGCGUGAGUGAUGAAGGCCUUCGGGUCGUAAAGCUCUGUCAGAAGGGAAGAAAUGGAAGGGUGUUAAUACCAUCUUUUCUUGACGGUACCUUCAAAGGAAGCACCGGCUAACUCCGUGCCAGCAGCCGCGGUAAUACGGAGGGUGCAAGCGUUGUUCGGAAUUAUUGGGCGUAAAGCGCGUGUAGGCGGUCUUUUAAGUCUGAUGUGAAAGCCCCGGGCUCAACCUGGGAAGUGCAUUGGAAACUGGGAGACUUGAAUACGGGAGAGGGCAGUGGAAUUCCUAGUGUAGGAGUGAAAUCCGUAGAUAUUAGGAGGAACACCGGUGGCGAAGGCGGCUGCCUGGACCGAUAUUGACGCUGAGACGCGAAAGCGUGGGGAGCAAACAGGAUUAGAUACCCCGGUAGU
RNAcentral lists this ribosomal RNA (807 nucleotides) under uncultured bacterium. Its description in RNAcentral is "bacterial SSU rRNA". It matches the Rfam family "Bacterial small subunit ribosomal RNA", at positions 8 to 794 of the family's 1533-position model. The record is from RNAcentral.